Ictalurus punctatus (channel catfish) is the source of this 1424-nucleotide long non-coding RNA. Lineage: Eukaryota; Metazoa; Chordata; Actinopteri; Siluriformes; Ictaluridae. The record is from Ensembl.
CUCUGAUAAUAAGUGUGCUAUUAUACAGGGUGACGACUGUCACGCUGUGGAAGAUUGACUGCAUCUCAGUUUUUCUUCCAUUUUGUAUUUUUUAUUUCCAUUUAUAAUACAUACUUUUAUAUGUGAAGUGGGAAUUACAAGGGUAAAAUAAUAAAGGAUCAAAAAUGAAAAAAAAAAAGCACUCGAGCUUCUGAAACAGCCUUAUAAGAAAUAUGUAGAAAGAGUGAGAGAACAACAGAAAGGGGGGAAGAAGAAGAAGAAGAAGAAGAAGAAGAAGGAGAGGAGAGUAGGAGAAGAAUAAAAAUGAAGGAGAAUAGAAAAAAAAAGAGAAGAAAUAAAUGAAGUGGAGAACUGGAGGGAGAAAGAUCAGAAGGUGUAAGAGGAGAAGAAGACAGACAGAAGAAGAAAGAGAAAGAAGAAGAAAGACAAAAAAGAUGAAGAGAAGAGGCAUGAGAAGAAGGGGGAGAGAAAGGUCUAAGGGGAGAUGAAAGACGAAGAGUUUAAGAGAGGAGGAAGAAGAACAUUUGAGUAGGUGAAGAAAAGAAAAAGUGAAAGGGAACAGAAAAGUAGACAAGAAAUGAAUGAAGAGUGAGGGCAAGGAGGAGAAUAAAAAUGAAGGAAAUUAAACCAAAAUAUAGACCGGAACUACAUGAGGAGGAGGAGAAGAGAACCUCUGGAGUAGAAAGAACAGAAGGAAUAAGAUAAAAAAAGAAAAGAAAGAGAGAUUAAGAAGAGAAAAGGAGGAAGAAUUAAGGAUGGAGAAAAUAUGAAAAAUUGAAAUGAAGACGAGAAAAAAAGGAAGAGAACGAGAGAAGAACGAGAGCAGACGUAGAGACAAAAUGAGAAGAAGAGCUUACCUGUGCAGGAGAAAGGAGAGAAGGUGGAAGAGGAGGAACAUCCUGAAGCUCUCCAUCCAAAAAUAUAUUAAUGUAAAAGAAAAGUGGAAUAAAGUAGAAUAUCGUCCUCUGGAGUGUCGCAGUAGAGUUUCAGUUGCAGCUCCUCUCAGAUAAGAUCUGUAGAUCUGAUGUUCCUCAGAUAAGGUUCAUCUGUGAGAUCGGUGUUGGAGAACUCCAGCCCUGUUCCUGCGUGAGAUCAGACCUGCUGGAGGAGAAGAAGCAGCUGUGGCUCGGCGUCUGUCAUCGCUUUAAAAAACUUUCCUCCAGUUUGUAGAUCGCUUGACCCAUGCCGGUUUUUGACUAUGAUUCUACCUAUCCUUAUGGAUUUGUCUGGCUGCAUCUCAUUAAAGCUUUUAACUGCACUUGCAUCCGUCUCCACCCUGUUUACACGACGGUGAUUUUCCCGUUCGCUCCUGUAAACAGUGUGAGGACAGAGAAGCCUCGUCAGGCCUGAGAGAAAGCCCAGAGGAAAAAAAGAACGAAAAGGAGCUCUGUGAACCACAGAAAGAUUGCGUUUGGUGUUUUUAC